UACGUAGGGGGCUAGCGUUGUCCGGAAUCAUUGGGCGUAAAGCGCGUGUAGGCGGUCCGGUAAGUCCGCUGUGAAAGUCGGGGGCUCAACCCUCGAAUGCCGGUGGAUACUGUCGGGCUAGAGUGCGGAAGAGGCGAGUGGAAUUCCUGGUGUAGCGGUGAAAUGCGCAGAUAUCGGGAGGAACACCAAUGGCGAAGGCAGCUCGCUGGGACGGUACUGACGCUGAGACGCGAAAGCGUGGGGAGCAAACAGG
RNAcentral lists this ribosomal RNA (253 nucleotides) under uncultured bacterium. RNAcentral's name for it is "partial 16S ribosomal RNA". It matches the Rfam family "Bacterial small subunit ribosomal RNA", at positions 524 to 776 of the family's 1533-position model. The record is from RNAcentral.